RNAcentral lists this ribosomal RNA (401 nucleotides) under uncultured bacterium. RNAcentral describes it as "bacterial SSU rRNA". It matches the Rfam family "Bacterial small subunit ribosomal RNA", at positions 356 to 774 of the family's 1533-position model. The record is from RNAcentral.
GGGGAAUAUUGCGCAAUGGGGGCAACCCUGACGCAGCAACGCCGCGUGCGGGACGAAGGCCUUCGGGUUGUAAACCGCUUUCAGCAGGGAAGAACCAUGACGGUACCUGCAGAAGACGCCCCGGCUAACUACGUGCCAGCAGCCGCGGUAAUACGUAGGGGGCGAGCGUUAUCCGGAUUCAUUGGGCGUAAAGCGCGCGUAGGCGGCCCGCUAAGCGGGACCUCUAACCUGGGGGCUCAACCUCCAGCCGGGUCCCGAACUGGCGAGCUCGAGUGCGGUAGGGGCAGGCGGAAUUCCCGGUGUAGCGGUGGAAUGCGCAGAUAUCGGGAAGAACACCGAUGGCGAAGGCAGCCUGCUGGGCCGACACUGACGCUGAGGCGCGAAAGCUAGGGGAGCGAACA